ACGAACGCUGGCGGCGUGCCUAAUACAUGCAAGUCGAGCGGACAGAUGGGAGCUUGCUCCCUGAUGUUAGCGGCGGACGGGUGAGUAACACGUGGGUAACCUGCCUGUAAGACUGGGAUAACUCCGGGAAACCGGGGCUAAUACCGGAUGGUUGUUUGAACCGCAUGGUUCAGACAUAAAAGGUGGCUUCGGCUACCACUUACAGAUGGACCCGCGGCGCAUUAGCUAGUUGGUGAGGUAACGGCUCACCAAGGCGACGAUGCGUAGCCGACCUGAGAGGGUGAUCGGCCACACUGGGACUGAGACACGGCCCAGACUCCUACGGGAGGCAGCAGUAGGGAAUCUUCCGCAAUGGACGAAAGUCUGACGGAGCAACGCCGCGUGAGUGAUGAAGGUUUUCGGAUCGUAAAGCUACUGUUGUUAGGGAAGAACAAGUGCCGUUCAAAUAGGGCGGCACCUUGACGGUACCUAACCAGAAAG
This 480-nucleotide ribosomal RNA is filed under the name Bacillus amyloliquefaciens. RNAcentral describes it as "bacterial SSU rRNA". It matches the Rfam family "Bacterial small subunit ribosomal RNA", at positions 29 to 490 of the family's 1533-position model. The record is from RNAcentral. Lineage: Bacteria; Bacillati; Bacillota; Bacilli; Caryophanales; Bacillaceae.